This 498-nucleotide ribosomal RNA is filed under the name uncultured bacterium. Its description in RNAcentral is "partial 16S ribosomal RNA". It matches the Rfam family "Bacterial small subunit ribosomal RNA", at positions 30 to 523 of the family's 1533-position model. The record is from RNAcentral.
AUUGAACGCUGGCGGCAUGCCUUACACAUGCAAGUCGAACGGUAACAGGUCGUCGGAUGCUGACGAGUGGCGAACGGGGGAGUAAUACAUCGGAACGUGCCUAGUAGUGGGGGAUAACUACUCGAAAGAGUGGCUAAUACCGCAUGAGAUCUACGGAGGAAAGCAGGGGAUCGCAAGACCUUGUGCUACGAGAGCGGCGGAUGGCAGAUUAGGUAGUUGGUGGGAUAAAAGCUUACCAAGCCGACGAUCUGUAGCUGGUCGGAGAGGACGAUCAGCCACACUGGGACUGAGACACGGCCCAGACUCCUACGGGAGGCAGCAGUGGGGAAUUUUGGACAAUGGGCGCAAGCCUGAUCCAGCAAUGCCGCGUGCAGGAUGAAGGCCUUCGGGUUGUAAACUGCUUUUGUACGGAACGAAAAGCCCCGGGUUAAUACCCUGGGGUCAUGACGGUACCGUAAGAAUAAGCACCGGCUAACUACGUGCCAGCCGCCGCCGUAA